RNAcentral lists this ribosomal RNA (404 nucleotides) under uncultured Rhodoferax sp. RNAcentral's name for it is "bacterial SSU rRNA". It matches the Rfam family "Bacterial small subunit ribosomal RNA", at positions 977 to 1382 of the family's 1533-position model. The record is from RNAcentral. Lineage: Bacteria; Pseudomonadati; Pseudomonadota; Betaproteobacteria; Burkholderiales; Comamonadaceae.
ACCUUUGACAUGUACGGAAUCCUUAGAGAUAGAGGAGUGCUCGAAAGAGAGCCGUAACACAGGUGCUGCAUGGCUGUCGUCAGCUCGUGUCGUGAGAUGUUGGGUUAAGUCCCGCAACGAGCGCAACCCUUGUCAUUAGUUGCUACAUUUGGUUGGGCACUCUAAUGAGACUGCCGGUGACAAGCCGGAGGAAGGUGGGGAUGACGUCAAGUCCUCAUGGCCCUUAUAGGUGGGGCUACACACGUCAUACAAUGGCUGGUACAAAGGGUUGCCAACCCGCGAGGGGGAGCUAAUCCCACAAAGCCAGUCGUAGUCCGGAUCGUAGUCUGCAACUCGACUACGUGAAGUCGGAAUCGCUAGUAAUCGUGGAUCAGAAUGUCACGGUGAAUACGUUCCCGGGUCUU